AUGCAAUGAUAGAUGCUCAAUCUCAUAUUCUAUUCUGUAAUCAAUAUUGAUGAUUGUUAAUCCCUUCCCAGUGGUAAAAAUAUAAAUAACAAUACCUGGAAUACUUCCCGGUUAAAAUGCUACAUCGGUAUUAAUUUGUGCGCUUGCAGAUCCCAUUCAUUAUUUAUUUAGAAGAGCAAUUGCAUAUUUCAAUACCGCGCCUCUUAUAUCAUGCUGGGGAUGACAACUUGGCUUAAGUGGUGUGAGGGAUAGGUUUGGCAUUUUUGGCACCGUUACUAGAUUUAGAGAACUUAGUCAAC
Molecule: long non-coding RNA, 299 nt
Filed under: Sorghum bicolor (sorghum)
Lineage: Eukaryota; Viridiplantae; Streptophyta; Magnoliopsida; Poales; Poaceae
Description: long non-coding RNA (SBIC_LNC008485)
Source: RNAcentral